AGAGACAGCAGCCGCCGCGGUAAUACGGAGGGUGCAAGCGUUAAUCGGAAUUACUGGGCGUAAAGCGCACGCAGGCGGUCUGACAAGUCAGAUGUGAAAUCCCCGGGCUUAACCUGGGAACUGCAUUUGAAACUGUCAGGCUGGAGUCUUGUAGAGGGGGGUGGAAUUCCAGGUGUAGCGGUGAAAUGCGUAGAGAUCUGGAGGAAUACCGGUGGCGAAGGCGGCCCCCUGGACAAAGACUGACGCUCAGGUGCGAAAGCGUGGGGAGCAAACAGGAUUAGAUACCCCAGUAGUCCCUGUCUCUUAUAC
This 309-nucleotide ribosomal RNA is filed under the name uncultured bacterium. RNAcentral describes it as "partial 16S ribosomal RNA". It matches the Rfam family "Bacterial small subunit ribosomal RNA", at positions 504 to 807 of the family's 1533-position model. The record is from RNAcentral.